RNAcentral lists this ribosomal RNA (172 nucleotides) under Phialemonium dimorphosporum. RNAcentral describes it as "5.8S ribosomal RNA". The stretch from base 1 to 154 matches the Rfam family "5.8S ribosomal RNA". Rfam says of the family: 5.8S ribosomal RNA (5.8S rRNA) is a component of the large subunit of the eukaryotic ribosome. It is transcribed by RNA polymerase I as part of the 45S precursor that also contains 18S and 28S rRNA. The record is from RNAcentral. Lineage: Eukaryota; Fungi; Ascomycota; Sordariomycetes; Cephalothecales; Cephalothecaceae.
AACUUUCAACAACGGAUCUCUUGGUUCUGGCAUCGAUGAAGAACGCAGCGAAAUGCGAUAAGUAAUGUGAAUUGCAGAAUUCAGUGAAUCAUCGAAUCUUUGAACGCACAUUGCGCCCAUUAGUAUUCUAGUGGGCAUGCCUGUUCGAGCGUCAUUUCAACCCUCAAGCACU